RNAcentral lists this ribosomal RNA (449 nucleotides) under uncultured bacterium. RNAcentral's name for it is "partial 16S ribosomal RNA". It matches the Rfam family "Bacterial small subunit ribosomal RNA", at positions 29 to 523 of the family's 1533-position model. The record is from RNAcentral.
AACGAACGCUGGCGGCAGGCUUAACACAUGCAAGUCGAACGAGAUCUUCGGAUCUAGUGGCAGACGGGUGAGGAACACGUGGGAACAUUCCUUUCAGUUCGGAAUAACGUUGAGAAACUAACGCUAAUACCGGAUACGUCCUUCGGGAGAAAGAUUUAUCGCUGAAAGAUUGGCCCGCGUCUGAUUAGCUAGUUGGUGAGGUAAUGGCUCACCAAGGCUACGAUCAGUAGCUGAUCUGAGAGGAUGAUAAGCCACAUUGGGACUGAGACACGGCCCAAACUCCUACGGGAGGCAGCAGUGGGGAAUAUUGGACAAUGGGCGCAAGCCUGAUCCAGCCAUGCCGCGUGAGUGAUGACGGCCUUCGGGUUGUAAAGCUCUUUUGUCCGGGAAGAUAAUGACUGUACCGGAAGAAUAAGCCCCGGCAAACUUCGUGCCAGCCGCCGCCGUAA